UACGGGGGGGGCAAGCGUUGUUCGGAAUUACUGGGCGUAAAGGGCUCGUAGGCGGCCAACUAAGUCAGACGUGAAAUCCCUCGGCUUAACCGGGGAACUGCGUCUGAUACUGGGUGGCUUGAAUCCGGGAGAGGGAUGCGGAAUUCCAGGUGUAGCGGUGAAAUGCGUAGAUAUCUGGAGGAACACCGGUGGCGAAGGCGGCAUCCUGGACCGGUAUUGACGCUGAGGCGCGAAAGCUAGGGGAGCAAACGGG
Molecule: ribosomal RNA, 253 nt
Filed under: uncultured bacterium
Lineage: Bacteria
Description: partial 16S ribosomal RNA
Rfam family: Bacterial small subunit ribosomal RNA
Source: RNAcentral